This 88-nucleotide transfer RNA is filed under the name Actinomyces howellii. RNAcentral's name for it is "tRNA-???(cg)". The record is from RNAcentral. Lineage: Bacteria; Bacillati; Actinomycetota; Actinomycetes; Actinomycetales; Actinomycetaceae.
CGCGUCGUAGGUCAUGGCCGGCUGCCGUCCUCGACGACGGCGGGGGUCUCGCCCUCGGCCUCGCCGGGCUCGGCGCCCGCCGUGGCGC